RNAcentral lists this ribosomal RNA (1170 nucleotides) under metagenome. RNAcentral describes it as "bacterial SSU rRNA". It matches the Rfam family "Eukaryotic small subunit ribosomal RNA", at positions 603 to 1777 of the family's 1831-position model. The record is from RNAcentral.
AUUAAAGUUGUUGCAGUUAAAAAGCUCGUAGUCGGAUUUUGGGGUGGUAUUUUAAAUUGAGCCCGGUCUGCCGGGAUGGUGUGUACUGGCUCAACCACCCUUCCUUCCAGUUUGCUGCCUUGUGCUCUUAACUGAGUGUGGGGUUUUAGCUCUGGAUCGUUUACUUUGAAAAAAUUAGAGUGUUUAAAGCAGGCCUAAUCAGUGCCUUGAAUAUUGCAGCAUGGGAUAAUAAAAUAGGACUUUGCGCCUAUUUUGUUGGUUUCUAGGUGUAGAGUAAUGAUUAAUAGAAUUUGUUGGGGGUAUUCAUAUUUAAUUGUCAGAGGUGAAAUUCUUGGAUUUAUGAAAGAUGAACUUCUGCGAAAGCAUUUAUCAAGGAUGUUUUCAUUGAUCAAGAACGAAAGUUAGGGGAUCGAAGACGAUCAGAUACCGUCGUAGUCUUAACUAUAAACGAUGCCGACCAGGGAUCGGGAGACGUUACAUGGAUGACUCCCCCAGCACCUUGCGAGAAAACACAAGUCUUUGGGUUCCGGGGGGAGUAUGGUCGCAAGGCUGAAACUUAAAGGAAUUGACGGAAGGGCACCACCAGGAGUGGAGCCUGCGGCUUAAUUUGACCCAACACGGGGAAACUCACCAGGUCCAGACAUAAUAAGGAUUGACAGAUUGAGAGCUCUUUCUUGAUUUUAUGGGUGGUGGUGCAUGGCCGUUCUUAGUUGGUGGAGUGAUUUGUCUGGUUAAUUCCGAUAACGAACGAGACUCUGGCCUACUAACUAGAAGGUCUAUCCUUUAUGGGUGGGCCUCUGCUUCUUAGAGGGACGGGCGGCGUUUAGCCGCACGAGAAUGAGCAAUAACAGGUCUGUGAUGCCCUUAGAUGUUCUGGGCUGCACGCGCGCUACACUGAAGGAAUCAGCAUGUUCUCCCCUCCCUGAAAAGGGCGGGUAACCCGUUGAAACUCCUUCGUGAUGGGGAUUGGAGAUUGUAAUUAUUCUCCAUGAACGAGGAAUUCCCAGUAAGCGCGAGUCAUCAGCUUGCGUCGAUUACGUCCCUGCCCUUUGUACACACCGCCCGUCGCUACUACCGAUCGAGUGAUUUAGUGAGGACUUCGGACUGGUCUUCAAGUUGGCUUCGGCCGGCUCGAAGUUCCGGAAAGAUGCCCAAACUUGAUCACUUAGA